Molecule: unclassified non-coding RNA, 347 nt
Filed under: soil metagenome
Description: partial contains 5.8S ribosomal RNA, internal transcribed spacer 2, and large subunit ribosomal RNA
Rfam family: 5.8S ribosomal RNA (bases 1-120)
Source: RNAcentral
GAUGAAGAACGUAGCAAAAUGCGAUAAGUAAUGUGAAUUGCAGAAUUCAGUGAAUCAUCGAAUCUUUGAACGCACAUUGCGCCCGCUGGUAUUCCGGCGGGCAUGCCUGUUCGAGCGUCAUUUCAACCCUCAAGCCCCCGGGUUUGGUGUUGGGGAUCGGCUCUGCCCUUCUGGGCGGUGCCGCCCCCGAAAUACAUUGGCGGUCUCGCUGCAGCCUCCAUUGCGUAGUAGCUAACACCUCGCAACUGGAACGCGGCGCGGCCAUGCCGUAAAACCCAAACUUCUGAAUGUUGACCUCGGAUCAGGUAGAAAUACCCGCUGAACUUAAGCAUAUCAAAAGCGGAGGA